UAAGGAAGAGCAGAUUUAAUCUGCAAUGGGGAUUAACCCCGUGCUGUUUCAAGAAGACAGAAGUCUGAGG
This 70-nucleotide unclassified non-coding RNA is filed under the name uncultured delta proteobacterium. RNAcentral's name for it is "partial 16S-23S ribosomal RNA intergenic spacer". The record is from RNAcentral. Lineage: Bacteria; Deltaproteobacteria.